CUUCCAUCUGCCUAAGCGAAACUGUAAACGGGAUUUUUCCCCCCACAAUUGAAUGGAAGCUCUGUACUGUACCGACUUCUGGAUUUGCCCUGGGUUGAGUUUAGGGAAUGUCUGGAAAGCAAAAAGAGAGGAAAAGAGGAGGGGGGCAGCUCAAGCCCUGUCCAAGUUAGGCAGAAGGCUGUGUUAGGCAGGAAAGAGGCUACGGGAGAAACAGCUGGGAUGCAGACUGGCUGUGGAAAUCUCAGUUCUAGGAACCGUGUCCUUUGGUCCCGGAGAUUUUGCAUUUUUUACAAGACCCCCCAGCAGCAAAAAGAUUACAAUUCGCUGAAGGCUCAGAUGAUGGUCCGCAUUUUCUAGCAAUAAAGUAUUUUCAAAUUGCGUGGUCUGGAACUGAACCCGCAAGAUGUCCAAGAUUAUCUCCAAGCUAACAUCUGCUGCCAAUCCUCCUGUUUUAGCUGAGGAAGACUGGAAGCUGAGCUAACAUCCGUGCCCAUCUUCCUCUACUUUAUAUGUGGGACGCCUACCACAGCAUGGCUUGCCAAGCAAUGCCAUAUCUGCACCCAGAAUCUGAACCGGCAAACCCUGGGCGGCCAAAGCAGAACGUGCGCACUUAACCGCUGCGCCACCGGGCCAGCCCCCCUAAGCUUCUACUUUUAACCUGUUAAAGUGGGUUUCUUGUUGGCAACAUGUAGUUGUGUCUUACCUUUCUAUCCAAUCUGACA
Molecule: long non-coding RNA, 722 nt
Filed under: Equus asinus (donkey)
Lineage: Eukaryota; Metazoa; Chordata; Mammalia; Perissodactyla; Equidae
Description: lncRNA (ENSEASG00005032621.1)
Source: RNAcentral